This 862-nucleotide ribosomal RNA is filed under the name archaeon enrichment culture clone M04_3130. RNAcentral describes it as "bacterial SSU rRNA". It matches the Rfam family "Archaeal small subunit ribosomal RNA", at positions 21 to 859 of the family's 1478-position model. The record is from RNAcentral.
CCCCACUGCUAUCGGGAUGGGACUAAGACAUGCUAGUCAAGCGCCUUCCAGCCAUGUGGGAGGUGCGGCGUACAGCUCAGUAACACGUGGCUAACCUGCCCUUGGGACGGGAACAACCCCGGGAAACUGGGGCUAAUUCUCGAUAGGUGAAGAACUCUGGAAUGAGUCUUUGCCUAAAAGACACUUGGAUCAUGCUUUCAGGUGUCGCCCAAGGAUGGGGCCGCGACCGAUCAGGUUGUUGGUGAGGUAAUGGCCCACCAAGCCUAUAACCGGUGCGGGCCGUGAGAGCGGGAGCCCGGAGAUGGGCACUGAGACAAGGGCCCAGGUCCUACGGGGCGCAGCAGUCGCGAAACCUUUGCAAUACACGCAAGUGUGACAGGGUCAUCCCGAGUGCCGACCGCUGAGGUUGGCUUUUACCCAGUCUAGAAAGCUGGGGGAAUAAGGAGAGGGCAAGUCUGGUGUCAGCCGCCGCGGUAAUACCAGCUCUCCGAGUGGUGUGGACGUUUAUUGGGCCUAAAGCAUCCGUAGCUGGCUGAGCAAGUCCCCUGUUAAACCCACCGAUUUAAUCGUUGGCUUGCGGGGGAAACUGUUCGGCUAGGGGACGAGAGAGGCAGACGGUAUUCCCGGGGUAGGGGUGAAAUCCUAUAAUCCCGAGAAGACCACCAGUGGCGAAGGCUGUCUGCUAGAACGCGCCCGACGGUGAGGGAUGAAAGCUGGGGGAGCGAACCGGAUUAGAUACCCGGGUAGUCCCAGCUGUAAACGAUGCAGGCUAGGUGUUUGGACGGCCACGUGCCGUUCUAGUGCCGCAGGGAAGCUGUUAAGCCUGCCGCCUGGGGAGUACGAUCGCAAGAUUGAAACUUAA